This 393-nucleotide ribosomal RNA is filed under the name uncultured bacterium. RNAcentral describes it as "partial 16S ribosomal RNA". It matches the Rfam family "Bacterial small subunit ribosomal RNA", at positions 523 to 918 of the family's 1533-position model. The record is from RNAcentral.
AUACGGAGGAUGCGAGCGUUAUCCGGAUUUAUUGGGUUUAAAGGGUGCGCAGGCGGGCGAUUAAGUCAGCGGUGAAAGGCUCGGGCUCAACCGGAGCAGUGCCGUUGAUACUGGUUGUCUUGAAUGCGGUCAAGGCCGGCGGAAUGUGGCGUGUAGCGGUGAAAUGCAUAGAUAUGCCACAGAACACCGAUAGCGAAGGCAGCUGGCCGGGCCUGCAUUGACGCUCAGGCACGAAAGCGUGGGGAUCGAACAGGAUUAGAUACCCUGGUAGUCCACGCUGUAAACGAUGGACACUCGUUGUCGGCGACAGACAGUCGGCGGCCAAGCGAAAAUGAUAAGUGUCCCACCUGGGGAGUACGGUCGCAAGGCUGAAACUCAAAUGAAUUGACGGGG